Molecule: long non-coding RNA, 437 nt
Filed under: Bos taurus (domestic cattle)
Lineage: Eukaryota; Metazoa; Chordata; Mammalia; Artiodactyla; Bovidae
Description: long non-coding RNA NONBTAT017421
Source: RNAcentral
CUUUCUCCCAUAAACUGGCUUUUUCUGAUUCAAAUGAUCAGCCUGGAGACUUCUCAGCUGCCUUAAUUCUUAAGGCACAUGGCGGGCGCUUAAUAAAUGGCUUUGACUAACUCUCUGGUUUCUUUGACUAACUCUCUGGUUUCUAGACCUAGUCAACUGGUUGCAAAGUGUUUUCAGCCUCUGAUUUGUAAGAGAAGUAUCAGGUUAUUCAUUUGCCCUCUGGCUGGGGACAGUUUCCUCAUAAAAGAGAGUCACCUCCUGAGCAUCCUUGACAACUCAUCGAGGUGGCAUUAUCCUGAGUUCACACCUUGUCUCAGUGGGCUUGGCUGCCUAUUGGCUAUCACCUCACAAGCUUCAGCUCCCUAUCUGGUAAACCUAGGCAAAUAGAACCCUUGGCAUGUGAGAACUCUGAAUAAAGUGCUAUAGAAAGAUGUUCU